RNAcentral lists this long non-coding RNA (971 nucleotides) under Ornithorhynchus anatinus (platypus). RNAcentral describes it as "lncRNA (ENSOANG00000050588.1)". Lineage: Eukaryota; Metazoa; Chordata; Mammalia; Monotremata; Ornithorhynchidae. The record is from RNAcentral.
AGCCAAUCACAAGCAGCCUCCACAGACGCCAUCACCGCCUGGCUCGGCCUGGCCGCGACGGGCCUCAUGGCUCCGCCUCCGCCGCCUCCCGGGCUCCUCGUCUUCGGAAGAGGAACGUGUCCGGGCGCCGUUGGAAAGCCUUUAAAGGGCUCUCCGUCACUAUGGCAAUCCGGAAGUGUCUCGGGAAGAAGCGGAGAGGGGGGCCCGGGGCUUCCGGGAUGGGUGUCCCCGCACUCUGGUCCCUCACUCGACCCCCCAGUUUGUGGCCGGGAGAGGUGCUCGUCCUGGGUCUGGAAGGAGGUUUCACAGAAAGGAGAAAAAGAGUUGGAGUCUCUGGAUUGAUAUCUUUCUCCUCCCUAGCAAUUAAGGUCUCUGGAGCUGCCUCAGACAGCCAGGCAAGGACAUACGGACAUCUCACCGACCCAGAGUGCAGACGACGGUGUUCCGACCUGGAGCCCUCAGAAAACUAAGCGCAGACGUUCGUGCAGAGACGAGAGAUAAGCACCGGAACAAGCACAUAAAGCCUUUCUCCCUUCACCACAACUUUUCCUCCCGUGUCAGCCACAGAGGGUGGUGCCUGCGGCUCUGCUCUGGGGUGAAUCAGAGUGACACCUUUAGCCACACGGCAACCACUGGGCCGCAGCCGUCCGCCGGGGAGCUGCCGUCUCUUCCGCCACCUCCUGUCAGAGGGGGAAGGAGACGUUCAGCUCAUCCCCCUUGGCACUUCCAAGGCCGGGCGUCGGCGGGCCCGGGGACCCUCGGACCCUCACCUCGAUCGAUCGACCGGAUCGAUGGGAGUUACUGAGCCUCUAAGCGCCUGGGAGAAUGAGAUGCAAAAGUGUUGGUAGACGUGUCUCCCUCCCACGAGGAGCCGACUCCGAGGACCGGUUCUGUCUUGCGCUCUUGGCCCUGAAGGCCUGUGGGUUCAGUCCCAGCCUCGUCCCCUGGGGUGGGAAGGGGGGCGGAAGAGG